This 555-nucleotide ribosomal RNA is filed under the name Listeria monocytogenes. Its description in RNAcentral is "partial 23S ribosomal RNA". It matches the Rfam family "Bacterial large subunit ribosomal RNA", at positions 399 to 954 of the family's 2925-position model. The record is from RNAcentral. Lineage: Bacteria; Bacillati; Bacillota; Bacilli; Caryophanales; Listeriaceae.
GAGUGGAUCCUGAGUACGGCGGAACACGUGAAAUUCCGUCGGAAUCCGGGAGGACCAUCUCCCAAGGCUAAAUACUCCCUAGUGACCGAUAGUGAACCAGUACCGUGAGGGAAAGGUGAAAAGCACCCCGGAAGGGGAGUGAAACAGUUCCUGAAACCGUGUGCCUACAAGUAGUUAGAGCCCGUUAAUGGGUGAUAGCGUGCCUUUUGUAGAAUGAACCGGCGAGUUACGAUUUGUUGCAAGGUUAAGCGGAAAAAGCGGAGCCGUAGCGAAAGCGAGUCUGAAUAGGGCGCAUAAGUAACAGGUCGUAGACCCGAAACCAGGUGAUCUACCCAUGUCCAGGAUGAAGGUAAGGUAAUACUUACUGGAGGUCCGAACCCACGCACGUUGAAAAGUGCGGGGAUGAGGUGUGGGUAGCGGAGAAAUUCCAAUCGAACUUGGAGAUAGCUGGUUCUCUCCGAAAUAGCUUUAGGGCUAGCCUCGAGGUAAAGAGUCAUGGAGGUAGAGCACUGUUUGGACUAGGGGCCCUUCUCGGGUUACCGAAUUCAGAUAAAC